RNAcentral lists this unclassified non-coding RNA (4040 nucleotides) under Camponotus floridanus (Florida carpenter ant). Its description in RNAcentral is "uncharacterized LOC105257508, transcript variant X1". Lineage: Eukaryota; Metazoa; Arthropoda; Insecta; Hymenoptera; Formicidae. The record is from RNAcentral.
CAUUUUCACUUGUCAAAGAUGGUCAAUGGCAGCAAUGGCGGCUAAUGGGGGCGUAUGUAUAUGAUACAGUAGUAGACACAUCUUUGUCGAUUUAUCAGAGAAAUCUCGUGUGUGUUACAUCGUAUGCGUUCUGCGUCCGGAAUCUAUCUAUGCGAGGGCGUUACGUCCUCGUAGAGAGAGAAAAAGAAAAAGAAGCAAUUUCGACGACUUGGAAGGACGCAACAGACAUCGGAUCCGCGCUGUUCAUUCACGGAUGUUUACGACUGGCAUGUUAAAUGGAAAAGAACGUGGAAGUGACGGAGGUGACGUCGUCCAGGGAGACUGACACCGGCCUUGCCGCGAAUUCAUCGAUAGGAUCGGGCGACAUUGACACCGAGGUCAAUGAUAAUACGCUGACGAACGAACCGUCACCGCGUCACGACGAUGACGUAAGGAACGACAACGAAAAUGGUAAGAAUGCAGCGGAGGAAAAACGUGGAGAAGGCAUCGCUGCGAACUCGUCGCGAGGAACUAACGCAUCUCAGACUCCCAUAGCCUUCACCAUUGAAUUCGAUAACAACAAAGAAGUGGACACGGCCAAGUACCACAAUCUGUUCGAGAGAUAUAACGCCAGGCACAGGCGGAAUCUCUCCAUGUCCAAGGUAGAAAUAAAAUCAAAGAAGCCAAGCGCUAUAUUAUCUCCAAACUUGGGACAAAAGCAGAAAGUUCCUAGCACUCAUUCGGAAGGUUACUUUAGUAGCGAGGAUGAAACGAAGCGAAAAACUGAUCAAUUAUCAGAAAGACUUAAACAACUAGGUAUGAAGAAUCCUUCGAGAGGAGAUUCUAGCACAAAGAUGUUUGCUAAUGAAAAUGUAGAUCAUCAGAAUAAAUAUUUAAAGACGAGAUCUAACGAUGGUGAAAUACGACGUAAUAUAUGGUCACAAAGCCUCUCCUUGGAAUUCGAAUCCAACGAAAACGAAUAUUGGACGUCUCAAAGAUCCGCAACAAUAAAUGAUUUAAGUCGCGUUCAAAUUAGCAAUUACGACGAUGACGAAAACGAGAAGCAAUACACGAAAAAUAUUGAGUACAUUGCUCACAAGAGCGAAGAAGCAAAUGAUUUCGAAGAUAAUAAAGUAUCUAAUAUGAAUUAUCUCACCGAUGAUUUUAACAUAAGAAACACAAACGAACGAGAGAGUGCUUUGUCGAGCAUCAAUUACGCGAUGAAUCUCGAUGCGAAUGAUUUAGCGGAUACUAAUCUGGAUGUAUUUAAUGUCAGUAAUGUCGAUGCCGCUUCUGAUGGUGCAGUGAGCGAGACUGGAACGUAUACCAUUCAUAAAGAUUAUACCGAUGAGGAAAAAGCGAGAAUGGACAUCGACAAAGUUUUUAGUGUCGGUGUUUUAACGGAAGAUGAAAGCAACGAAGCGUAUGUUCAUAAUUUUAAGAUGAGUAUUUCUCGUGAUAAUAAUACUUGGAUAUCGGAGUGGGCGACUCAAGUAGCAGAGCACAAUUCGUUACCUCCCAUAAUAGGCGGCACGACAGGUCGUACACCACCUCUAAGUCCUACCAAAAUACCAUCCCCGAUUCAUACUAGAUCUCAACGAGGAUUGCGUAAUCGUUAUGAACAUUCCGAUAGUAACGUGAGUACAGAUACGUAUGUGCGAAUAAAAGAAAGAAUCAAUUUAGUUUCAAAUCAACAUCAGAUUAUAGAUUCCGGCGGUGAAUCCGAUGACGAUACCAGCAAUAGUUACAACACGCCGCCCAACAGCUCACAGCGUACACCUGUACAUAGUACCGUAGGUAGACGCGGUAGCUUGUCUGACUCAUUGUUUCGACGAGCGAAUAGCAACGAAAAUAGACGCAGCGUCCGAAAAUACUUAAGUUCAACCAAAUCGAAGACUGCUGAUACUAAUGUAGAAUUAUCGAAUAGCCCGUCCCAAGUCAUGACAACUCUCCGUUUGGAGAGAAGAAGCAACUCUCUUGAUAGGAAAGAGUAUGCUUCAGAUACAACGGAAUCUAAUACGUCCAGAAAGAAUAGUAUGAAAUAUAAAGAAAGUGAUUUCAAGCACACAAAUAGUCCUGUCUUAAGCCGUCUCAGACCACCUAUACCAAAACUGACCAAUAGUCCAAUUCUGAGUCGUAAGGUUGCCGCAACGAAAGUCCUUAAUUCUCCCAUUUUAGAAAGAUCUAAGCUUCUGACAAAGUCAUCAGAAACGAAAAAUAUAGGAUAUUUUACAUGUGUUGAAAACAGUUUGUUUUACAGUCCAUAUAUGCUGAGAAAAUCUAACAGCACUACAAAUUAUCAUGAAAGAACCAGUUAUUUUGAUAAAGACAUAUCUAUUAAAGCGCCUAAUAUGUUACAAAAUAGUCCAGAAUUUCAACGGCAUCUUAAUAUACAGAGAUCAUCAAGUAACGCGAGUAUCAGAAACAUAAGGUCACAGAAUUUUGUGUCACGUCGCAGCAGUUUCAAUAGUAAUGACAUUGACAGAAUAUCAUCGAGAGGAAAAUUUGCUGUUGCUUCUGAUAGUAGCAGCGAAACAGGUGAACAACAAAGAAAAUCUCCUUUGACACCAAUUUCAUCUGGGAUCAAAUUAAAUAGGGCUUUCAGCAUAAGAAGAGCAAGAUUAAAUUGUGAAUCCGACACAACACCGAAUACAACCCCCGAAGAAAGACGUAGAAGAGCGCAGUCGGAAGUAAAGACUGCAACGCCUGCAAAUAAGCAGAAUUAUCAUCGUAGUCGCACAAACAGUGUUGGAGCGCAUAAUAAAGAAUCAUCGAAAAAAUCAGAACCAACGAAGUUCAAAACACCGUCUAUAUCUAGGACUGAUACCGGGAGAUUUAGUAUGAGAGCCCCGAAGCCUAAUCAUUCUUCCAAUAGUCAAAAAACGAAUCAAAAGUCAAGCAAAGAUCACAAAAAAUCUGGUAGAAGUAAUUCCACUCUCACAUCUAAGGAAGUGGAGUUUCAGAAUUGGAAAAGACGGAAAAGUUACGAUCCGAUGAAAGCAGCAGCUGAAGGGAGAAAGAAAUUAAUGGACAACACGAAGAAACAUCACAGUACCGAAGACAGUACCGGGAACCAUGACAAUUCUGUGCUGAGAUCUGCAAGUUUUCACGGUACAGGAGGUGCUCUCUCAUUAGCAAACGACUGGUCAGAUAAUGAAUUAGAUUACCACUACAAGGAUAAUCAAGUACCACCACCUAGCAGUCCACAGCUUGAAGAGAGUGAUAGUGACUUGGAAACUUCAUCUUAUCUCCAAACCACUCAGAAUGUUGUAUCCGCUAUGUCGGCUCGCAUGACGGGAUAUCGUCCUCCGUUGGACUCCGAUAACGAGAGCGACGAAGAUACAAGUCAUAGUCUACGUCAGAAUAUAUUGAAAGGAAUGCGCCAUCCGAGCGACACCGAGAGCAGCGACGAACGACAUGCUAUGGCACAAUCUCCUAUUUCCAGUACUAAAUAUAAUAAAGAAUUUAGUUUGCGUAAUAGAAUAAAAUUGGAUCUCCAAAGAACAAAACCUGCGUCUUCCAAUGUGAACAGAGCCAAAAAUUUAUCACACGAUACUAGCAAAUCUGAGUCUUUUUCUAACGUUACUAGAAUGGAAUCUGGACGAUCUGGCGCGCGAAUUAGUAGAGCUUUGAGUAUGGUGCCUAAAAAUAAAUCAAAGGAACCAAGAAAGCCCCCAAUGCCAAAUGUACGAGAAGUCGAAAUGCAAAAUUGGAAACGUCGCAAAAGCUAUGAUCCCAUGAAAGCGGCAAUGGAAGGACGAAAAAAAGCGGGCUUGGCAAAGAAAGCUAUCAAUACAAAUCUAUCACCAAGGACCAAUAGCGAUUGAUAAUUUAAAAAUAGUGUGGCAAAAUAAGCAAGUGGUGUGUAGCAUAAAAUUGUUUCAACAUUUCAUGCUAUAUAUUCUCUCAAGAGCCAUGUAGCGAGAUCGCAAAGUUUUCACGGAUCAGUAGGAUUAGCAGUCAGCGACUGGAGUGAUGAAGAACCGGUCAUAUCCGCAGAUGAAGCCUCUCUAUAUUAGGAUUGUCUCAGAAUUGUGGGUAAACGAACAACUAGUGUAAUG